UACGUAGGGGGCGAGCGUUGUCCGGAAUCAUUGGGCGUAAAGAGCGUGUAGGCGGUCCGGUAAGUCGGUUGUGAAAGCCCAGGGCUCAACCCUGGGAUGCCGACCGAUACUGUCGGACUAGAGUUCGGAAGAGGCGAGUGGAAUUCCCGGUGUAGCGGUGAAAUGCGCAGAUAUCGGGAGGAACACCUAUGGCGAAGGCAGCUCGCUGGGACGUUACUGACGCUGAGACGCGAAAGCGUGGGGAGCGAACAGG
RNAcentral lists this ribosomal RNA (253 nucleotides) under uncultured bacterium. RNAcentral's name for it is "partial 16S ribosomal RNA". It matches the Rfam family "Bacterial small subunit ribosomal RNA", at positions 524 to 776 of the family's 1533-position model. The record is from RNAcentral.